RNAcentral lists this ribosomal RNA (247 nucleotides) under Gomphales sp. 5 CRJH-2017. Its description in RNAcentral is "partial 28S ribosomal RNA". It matches the Rfam family "Eukaryotic large subunit ribosomal RNA", at positions 104 to 344 of the family's 3401-position model. The record is from RNAcentral. Lineage: Eukaryota; Fungi; Basidiomycota; Agaricomycetes; Gomphales.
AGAGCUCAAAUUUUAAAUCUGGCGGUCUCAGGCUGUCCGAGUUGUAAUCUAGAGAAGUGUUAUCUGUGCCGGACCACAUGUAAGUCUCCUGGAACGGAGCGUCAUAGAGGGUGAGAAUCCCGUCUGUAAUGUGGACUCCCGGUGCUCUACGAUGCGCUCUCAAAGAGUCGAGUUGUUUGGGAAUGCAGCUCAAAAUGGGAGGUAAAUUCCUUCUAAAGCUAAAUAUUGGCGAGAGACCGAUAGCGAA